UUAAUUGGAUUAUUGCAAGGGAACGAAUGGGGUGUGUUUUGGAAAAAGCGUUGUGUUACCUAGCCGUCUUAUUGGGAAUAACAAGAGCAUCUAUCAAUACUCAAAGUUUCAUAUAUGAAGUUUUCAAGAAACUGCUCGAGUUUUAGCAAAAGUAGCUCUUCGGGGUCGGAUCGAUUGAUUGAAAGGCCUGAAAAAGAACGUUGUUUUGGGGGGUAUGAUACCUUUUGGUACCCCCCCCCCUCAAAACAAGAUAACAUUAGUCUUUUGGAAACAACAACGAAAACAACAACAAC
Molecule: long non-coding RNA, 293 nt
Filed under: Olea europaea subsp. europaea
Lineage: Eukaryota; Viridiplantae; Streptophyta; Magnoliopsida; Lamiales; Oleaceae
Source: RNAcentral